Molecule: long non-coding RNA, 5067 nt
Organism: Catharus ustulatus (Swainson's thrush)
Lineage: Eukaryota; Metazoa; Chordata; Aves; Passeriformes; Turdidae
Exons: 3
Source: RefSeq, a predicted model, not a curated record
GGGCUUGCCGCUGCCCGCCAUUUCGCGGCCUGUCCCCGACCGCGGGUGCGGCUUGGCCUGCGCGUCAACGACAGGAUCGGGCGCCGGGCCGGUUGUGAGGCGAAGAGAUUUUGGUGGCAGCAACAGAAGGGACCGGAGCGACUGACAGGAUUGACCCUCACCCGCUCCUGGCGGAGCAGUAGCCCGGAUCCCCCGUGGGGCUCAGGCCUAUGGGCUGACAGGUUCCUUGAAAGGGUGUAUUUGUGCGUUUUCACUGUAGUUCCCUAAAAUGUCGUCCACAGCCGCUUGUGCGGCGUGUGGCAUUGCCCUUUGCUGUCAGCUCUGCACAGGCCAGGGUCCAGCUCUGUGCUGAAACUGAGACUACAUUAACUGGAUGUUUACAAGGUUGAUGUUUUUAGGAGUGCCUAAACAGUGAUGCUGUUUUGGCUACAUAGUCUUUCUACAAACUAAAACCCACUGAAGAGUUUUUCUGAAUAUUUGGAGUAGUAUUUUCCCCAAAAACCCCAAAUUCUGUCAGUUCUUGCACAUUAACUAGCAUAAACUGGAUUAUCAUUCCCAAAGCUGUUCUGGCCUUUUGCCUUUCAGCUACAAGGGAGGGCUGAGAAAAAGGAGUCAAAAAAACAGACUGAAAAGCCUGUCAUCUGUAUGAAGAGCAAAGAGAAGAAGUAGCAGGAGCAUUGUGCAAAGAUGGGAGCAUAGGUCUGGAUAGAGAAACAGGAAAGACAGCAAGAAAAUACAGCAUACAAUGUGAAAACUUACAGACCCAUGAUGAAAAUGGAAUUUCCCUCCAUUUUUGUUGCUAAGGAACAGUAAAGACCGCGUUUAAGAGAAGCAAAAGAAGUUGCCAAGCUCUGGGGAGAGGAGGGCAUCUGACUGCACUGCUCUUAUCUGAGGGUUUCUCUUGGAGGGGCAGAGAUACGGAGAUAAUUCAGCUGGACUUUGCUGUUGGGAUAUAUAGAAGGAAGGACCAACACCUCCUUGGAAGAUGGAUACUCCCAUUACUCUUAUCUUCCCAGGAAACAGUCUUGCCAGGUUGUCCCUGCAAUCCUUGGCCCAUUGGUGAGUCUUUGUCUGAAUGAAGUCACUCAAGGAAGGACUUCUCCUUUGCAGUUCCCCCAUCUUCCUCAACUUUUGCUUCAUUCUUGCUGCUUUUCUGACUUCUUCUAAUUUGAGUACCUCAGUAACGGGUGGCUGCUUCCUGCCCUGCAGAAGGUCACAGGUAUGCCCCAGACUAGGAUAAAACAUGGGCAGGUAAUCCAUCCAUGCAGACAAGGAGCAGGAGUUAGAGUUCCAAGCUUUUGUUAAUCGUGUUGUGUCGUGAGAUCAGUCAUGAAAAACUGCUUUGUAGCUGCCUAGUGGCAUAUGGUACAAGCAAAUAGCACAGCUGAGAGCCAGAUCACACACAGCUGCUCCUCUGGGAUGGUGUCACUGGAGAAUGAAGUGGAGCUCUUCUCGCCUCCACCAUGGCCACUCAAAGCCCUCUUGGGGUGGGUAAAAGAUGUGCCAUUGCUCAGCAGGACUCAGCCUGGGCAGGCAUGUCUAAACAGCUUCUCUUACAAGAAGAACCUGGGGCUGCUCAGGUAAAUGAACCCAGGUCACCUUGAGGAUGCAGGAAAGCUUGUGCCAGAAUGGUGAAGGAUCCUUCACAAAAGCACUCUGCCUCUGCAGAUUUGCCUCCUUCCUUUGCAGUACCUAUGUGGGUACACCUGCACAGGGCAUAGGACACCCUGGCAUCCACAAGAGUCAUUCGCUUAUCCUCUCCUGCUACAGUUGGGCAAAGGAGAGGGGAAAAAAAAUUAAUGAAGGGCUCAUGAGUUAAGGACUAGGAGAAAAACACUCUAAGUGCAAAAUAGGUUUAAAUUUAAAGGUAUAAAGUAAAUUUAUUAUUAACAGUCAGAGGGGGAUAAUGAGAAGUAAAAUAAGUGCUUAAAACACCAUUUUUCGUCCCCGGGGCCUCCCUCCUUCCUACUGACAAUACAGGGGGACAUGGUGUGGGGGUUUAUGUCAGUUCAUCACUCAAGGUCUUUUUCUGUUUGUUCAGGGAGAGGAAUCUUUGCUCUAUUAUGCCAUGGCAUCUCUCCCAUGGGCAAAGAGUCAUCCCAAAACUGUCGUGGUCCAAGUUACUCAUACACAGAGUGCAGUCUUUUAAGGAUAGGCUGCUCUAGUUUGGAAGCAAUGACCCUCUCUCUCUGUCUCUGGAAGAGGGGGCCAUCUCACUUUGGGUCUCUUACUAGAUCACAGCUUUCUCUGGCAUCCACCCACUCCAGUGUGAGCACUUUUCCUAUGGGCUGAAAGUGGAUCUCUUCAUCCCUGUGAUAUAUGUUGUUACAAUUCGUGUUUAUAUGAUAUAAGAAGGUUGUAUAAAAUAAAGAAAUAAAAUAAGAGAACUUUUCAGCCUCUGCCACCACCACCCAGAGCCAUAGACAAAGGCUUUAAUUAGCAUAUCAACAAACCUAGCUCAACGAUCCUGAAACCACUCCAGAGGGAACAGGAAAAGAUCAUCAAUAAAGAACAUGUCAAAUACUACAUAUCAGACAGCUGGGAGGUUCCUGGGAGUCCCCCCAUAGCAACGCCAGAUCCCGUAAAUCCAGUCACCUCCACCGGGAAAAAUUACAUUCCAAAGCUUCGGUUCCCGUAAGCGAGAAACAGCACUCCCAAGGAAAAUUACACAUCAAUACGGACCAGACACAGCCCUCAUCAGGAUUCAUCAACGCGCAGGAAGGACCUUUGUCCAGGGCAGCACCAAGAAAAGGAUUUAAUCUGAAUAUGAGAAUCCGCAGCAGAAACAAAGGGAACUCUCACCUCAGGCCAGAAAAUCUGUAUAGAAACUGGGCUCCCCAGGAUGGUGGGGUGAACACAGGGGGAUCUGAUGCGAUAGAGUUCAGAUCAGCAUGUGUGCUCAUCCGGCACUGAUCCUGGGCUCGGUGCUGUCCUGUUUCGUUUGUGGCGUCCCAAGACCGUAUUUUCGGUUGCAAAAAUAAAAAUUGCUCUUUUAGUAUUUAAUUUGGCUUAAUUUGGUUAUUAUCUAUAACAAUCCCCCAUGGACUUCAUGCAUUAUAAGGGCAUAGUUUGUUUCACCAUAGUUCUCACUGCAGCUUGCAGAGCAAUCUUGGCUACAACACUUGAAGCACCUCCUCCUCUUUCUUUACCACUGACCUUGGUACUGCCCUGUUGUUUUCCCUCAUGAGUCCUCACUUCCUCCUCUUCUCUAACUAGAAGAAAAACUGCUGCUUGUAGUCAUUGUCAACAAAUUCCACUAAUUCAAAGAUUCCUGAAGGAUCUUGCAGUGCCAAGAAGUUGAUCUUGUCUAGGUUCCACAUCAGGGAAUCUCUCGUCAUGCUUUCGCUGCCAGCCAUGCAGCCCUGCUGCCAUAACACUAUUGAAUGCCUCUCCUCAUGUGGGGCACUGGGAAGGGGAAGCUGCUGCUGCCCCUGCCCUUUUUGCCCACAGCACAGCUGGCUAGGAGCGACCAGGGAGGCAAGGCUCGCUGCAGGCUGCACCAAGAUGGCUGUGGCUACAGCAGUGCAUCACUAAACACCACACUGGGAAUGGCCCCUGUGGCAGUGUUUCACUGUCCUCGCAAAAAACCUGUGUCUGUUCUAUUUUGAUUUUCUUCUUGAAUAUGUUGUCACAGAGGCAUUACCAACAUCCCUAACUGGGCCAGCAGCAUGUCCAUCUUCAGAGCCACUGUCAGACAUGGUGGAAGUUUCUAGCAACUUCUCAUGGAAGCUACCCCUGUGCCCUUUGCACCCCCCUACCAAAAAACAGGCUGUGCCAAACCAAUGUACUGAGUCAGGGAGAGGCAUGGGGGGCCAAGAACAACACACCAAGCUAGAAAUGAGAGCCAGCUUCAAACCUCUGUCUGAAAUCUGAGGUCCUCACAAGCUCCACUGAGAUGCCAGUUUGUGCUUCUGCCUCUCUCUGGAAGCUCUUUAUGGCUGGACAGCUCAGGAUCCCACUGGUACAGAGUGACAACUGGGAAGAGUCCAUCCAGCCUCCUGGUGCUGCCAAAGGGGCAAUGCCCCCUGGCUUCUCCACUUACACCAUCCAGCCUGCUCCCUUUUGACAGCAGUGACUUUCAGCUAGCCCACCAAGGGACUGAGGCAUGACCUCAUCCCCACAGAAACCAUUCCUAGCUACAUGGCAUCCAACCAUUGCAAAGCAUUGGCUACCUUAUAAAAGGCAGCAGGAAUACAAAUGGAACUUGCAUUUGUCCAAAGUGACUACUUCCAAGGGAAAUCUGUGAGUCUGUAAAUGGCCUUUCCCAUCUGAUAAGGGUGAAACCUUUCCAUCCCCAGCAAGACCAGCAAGGAGGGAAGGUCAGUUUCACAUGGUCCCACUGCACCAUGCAGUGGCCCAGGGAGCAACAGCAUAGAAUUCCCUGUACAGUGGCUGUAGGGGGGAACCCCUUUGGUGUGGAUCCCUCAGAGAAGGCAGGACAUUGGCUUCUCAAUGACAAAAAAAAAGUUGUUUAUCCAAGGAUGUACUUUUCAUUUGGAAGUGAUGAGCAACUUGGAAGACCAAAGUUAAGGCAUCUAUAAUAGCAGAAGUCGAUGUAAAAUUAAGGAAUUCCAUUGCAUGGCAGCAGAGGUGAGGCUGUUAACUCAGGCUGUAAUGUCAGUGUUGUAAGGGCCAGUGCAGCCCUAGAAGGCUUAAAUCCUUUCCUUCAGAAGACAAGAACAGCCUGCCCAAACUGGCAGCUGCAGAUGUGUCCUCUGCUCAGGCAGAGCAAGCAGUUGGACUGGCCAGGUCAGAAACCGUAAUUAAGCAGAAGCUUCAAGGCACAGGCAAGGGUUGUUUUCUGUUUUUUCCUAGAGCAGCUGGAUUUGGGAACAGUUGCCUGUGGCAAUAUGGGUGACAGCCUUAGUAGUGUGCAUGUGCUGUAAAAGAAACAGAAAAUUAGAAAUACAGGCAGACUUCCCUGUUCAUGGAUGUUAGAUGUGGUGACCAGGGAACUGUUGCAGGAGCAGCUGCCUUUCCCCUCUUCAUAGGAGGGCAGUUGCAUGUGUCUGGGGUUACAACACAGAGUGUGAUAAAAGGUAUCUAUUCUAUCACCAUCUGUUGAGG